RNAcentral lists this ribosomal RNA (409 nucleotides) under uncultured soil bacterium. RNAcentral's name for it is "bacterial SSU rRNA". It matches the Rfam family "Bacterial small subunit ribosomal RNA", at positions 26 to 435 of the family's 1533-position model. The record is from RNAcentral.
AGGAUGAACGCUAGCUGGAGGCUUAAUACAUGCAAGUCGAGCGGGAUUGACCCAGCAAUGGGUCAUGAGAGCGGCGAACGGGUGAGUAACGCGUACACGACCUACCUUUAACUGGGGGAUAGCCCUGGGAAACUGGGAUUAAUACCGCAUAUAAUUCUGAUUUUAAAAGUUCAGAAUGAAAGUUCAGGCGGUUAAAGAUGGGUGUGCGUCUGAUUAGCUUGUUGGUAAGGUAACGGCUUACCAAGGCGAUGAUCAGUAGGGGGCGUGAGAGCGUGGUCCCCCCAGACGGGUACUGAGACACGGACCCGACUCCGUACGGGAGCAGCAGUAAGGAUAUGGACAAUGCCGCAGGCUGAUCCAGCCAUCCAGCGUGCAGGAAGAACGGCCCUAGUCGGGUUAUAAACCGUGU